Molecule: ribosomal RNA, 305 nt
Filed under: uncultured bacterium
Lineage: Bacteria
Description: bacterial SSU rRNA
Rfam family: Bacterial small subunit ribosomal RNA
Source: RNAcentral
UAGCCUACGGGGGGCAGCAGUGAGGAAUAUUGGUCAAUGGGCGAGAGCCUGAACCAGCCAAGUCGCGUGAGGGAGUACUGCCCUAUGGGUUGUAAACCUCUUUUGUCAGGGAGUAAAAGCCGGACGUGUCCGGCUGUGAGAGUACCCGAAGAAAAAGCAUCGGCUAACUCCGUGCCAGCAGCCGCGGUAAUACGGAGGAUGCGAGCGUUAUCCGGAUUUAUUGGGUUUAAAGGGUGCGCAGGCGGAUUUUUAAGUCAGCGGUCAAAUCGUGGGGCUCAACCCCAUCCCGCCGUUGCAACUGGGGA